GACCGGGGCGGGCGUGCCUAAUACAUGCAAGUCGAACGAACUCUGGUAUUGAUUGGUGCUUGCAUCAUGAUUUACAUUUGAGUGAGUGGCGAACUGGUGAGUAACACGUGGGAAACCUGCCCAGAAGCGGGGGAUAACACCUGGAAACAGAUGCUAAUACCGCAUAACAACUUGGACCGCAUGGUCCGAGUUUGAAAGAUGGCUUCGGCUAUCACUUUUGGAUGGUCCCGCGGCGUAUUAGCUAGAUGGUGGGGUAACGGCUCACCAUGGCAAUGAUACGUAGCCGACCUGAGAGGGUAAUCGGCCACAUUGGGACUGAGACACGGCCCAAACUCCUACGGGAGGCAGCAGUAGGGAAUCUUCCACAAUGGACGAAAGUCUGAUGGAGCAACGCCGCGUGAGUGAAGAAGGGUUUCGGCUCGUAAAACUCUGUUGUUAAAGAAGAACAUAUCUGAGAGUAACUGUUCAGGUAUUGACGGUAUUUAACCAGAAAGCCACGGCUAACUACGUGCCAGCAGCCGCGGUAAUACGUAGGUGGCAAGCGUUGUCCGGAUUUAUUGGGCGUAAAGCGAGCGCAGGCGGUUUUUUAAGUCUGAUGUGAAAGCCUUCGGCUCAACCGAAGAAGUGCAUCGGAAACUGGGAAACUUGAGUGCAGAAGAGGACAGUGGAACUCCAUGUGUAGCGGUGAAAUGCGUAGAUAUAUGGAAGAACACCAGUGGCGAAGGCGGCUGUCUGGUCUGUAACUGACGCUGAGGCUCGAAAGUAUGGGUAGCAAACAGGAUUAGAUACCCUGGUAGUCCAUACCGUAAACGAUGAAUGCUAAGUGUUGGAGGGUUUCCGCCCUUCAGUGCUGCAGCUAACGCAUUAAGCAUUCCGCCUGGGGAGUACGGCCGCAAGGCUGAAACUCAAAGGAAUUGACGGGGGCCCGCACAAGCGGUGGAGCAUGUGGUUUAAUUCGAAGCUACGCGAAGAACCUUACCAGGUCUUGACAUACUAUGCAAAUCUAAGAGAUUAGACGUUCCCUUCGGGGACAUGGAUACAGGUGGUGCAUGGUUGUCGUCAGCUCGUGUCGUGAGAUGUUGGGUUAAGUCCCGCAACGAGCGCAACCCUUAUUAUCAGUUGCCAGCAUUAAGUUGGGCACUCUGGUGAGACUGCCGGUGACAAACCGGAGGAAGGUGGGGAUGACGUCAAAUCAUCAUGCCCCUUAUGACCUGGGCUACACACGUGCUACAAUGGAUGGUACAACGAGUUGCGAACUCGCGAGAGUAAGCUAAUCUCUUAAAGCCAUUCUCAGUUCGGAUUGUAGGCUGCAACUCGCCUACAUGAAGUCGGAAUCGCUAGUAAUCGCGGAUCAGCAUGCCGCGGUGAAUACGUUCCCGGGCCUUGUACACACCGCCCGUCACACCAUGAGAGUUUGUAACACCCAAAGUCGGUGGGGUAACCUUUUAGGAACCAGCCGCCUUAAGGUGGACCAGAAU
Molecule: ribosomal RNA, 1478 nt
Filed under: Lactiplantibacillus plantarum
Lineage: Bacteria; Bacillati; Bacillota; Bacilli; Lactobacillales; Lactobacillaceae
Description: bacterial SSU rRNA
Rfam family: Bacterial small subunit ribosomal RNA
Source: RNAcentral